Molecule: long non-coding RNA, 3351 nt
Organism: Ictalurus punctatus (channel catfish)
Lineage: Eukaryota; Metazoa; Chordata; Actinopteri; Siluriformes; Ictaluridae
Source: Ensembl
AUGUAACAGUAACAAUGAGCCACGCGCUCGUCCUCCUAAAAUCCUUGGAAACCAACCAAGCCUGUAAAAUCAAAGCGCUAUUCAUUGUAUGGGGGCGAGGGAAUCUCCUCAACCACCACCAUCUGGAUGAUGGACUAAAACCCACAGUAGGAAAAAAAGAGCAAGUAAUCAUAUAAGAAUGAUAAGAAAUCCAGAAAACUUUGAGAUUAUCACUUGUCACCUUACAGGAAAAUAAAGCCAUGAAUAUGAGAACCUGUAUUAAACUAAAUUGAUCAACCAAUUUUUAAAAAUUAUUAUUUCAUUCAUUUCUUUAACAUUUUUGAUUAAACACUGACCUUUACUUUCAUUGAAUAGACUUAUUAUUUAUUGUAGACUGGAUGUUUAAAUGUUAGCAAUUACAGCAGACGUUUGCAAAAAAGUGGGCGUUUCCUGCAAAUGUCAUUUCUCACAAAAUCAGGUGAUAAUGUUCGCCCAGCAAUGCAACUAUCUCUUUAUCUAUAGAGACAAAAGAAAGAUAUUACAGAAUGAUCACUCUGAAUGGCCGCCCAUCCAUGUAAAUAUCUCUAUUUGUAAAGACAAGAAUGAGGUUUAAUCACCGUCUUAAUGUGUAGUGACUGGGUUUAUUUGUGAAGAUACUGAUGAAUGAAAACAUAGUGCAACCCAAAAGAAAACCUGUCAGCUUGAGCUUUAUUUUAUAUAGCUUUGUUCUUUCAACUUUAUGUACAAAAGCAAAUAGAAAUAACUAUAUUUUGUAAAAAAAAUUUCCUGAAUUUUGCGCCAUCUGGCUUUCUCUACGGUUCCCUACUGCCGUCUAACUCCACCUGCCACCUGAAAGAAAAAAAUAAUAAAUUUAAAGGAAGCAAGGAGCCACAAACCGUAGAGGCUAAGCGAAGAAGACCUUAAUCGACGUCGAACUCUACCUGCCGCCAUAUACCGCCAUAUACCGCCAACCUACCGCCAUAUAGCUCAAACCUACCACCUGAAAGAAAAGAUAAAUGUAACAGUAACAAUGAGCCACGAGCUCGUCCUCGUGAAAUCCUUUGAAACCAACCAAGCCUGUAAAAUCAAAGCGCUAUUCAUUGUAUGGGGGCGAGGGAAUCUCCUCAACCACCACCAUCUGGAUGAUGGACUAAAACCCACAGUAGGAAAAAAAGAGCAAGUAAUCAUAUAAGAAUGAUAAGAAAUCCAGAAAACUUUGAGAUUAUCACUUGUCACCUUACAGGAAAAUAAAGCCAUGAAUAUGAGAACCUGUAUUAAACUAAAUUGAUCAACCAAUUUUUAAAAAUUAUUAUUUCAUUCAUUUCUUUAACAUUUUUUGAUUAAACACUGACCUUUACUUUCAUUGAAUAGACUUAUUAUUUAUUGUAGGCUGAAUGUUUAAAUGUUAGCAAUUACCGCAGACGUUUGCAAAAGUGGGCGUUUCCUGCAAAGUCAUUUCUCACAAAAUCAGGUGAUAAUGUUCGCCCAGCAAUGCAACUAUCUCUUUAUCUAUAGAGACAAAAGAAAGAUAUUACAGAAUGAUCACUCUGAAUGGCCGCCCAUCCAUGUAAAUAUCUCUAUUUGUAAAGACAAAAGAAUGAGGUUUAAUCACCGUCUUAAUGUGUAGUGACUGGGUUUAUUUGUGAAGAUACUGAUGAAUGAAUACAUGGUGCAACCCAAAAGAAAACCUGUCAGCUUGAGCUUUAUUUUAUAUAGCUUUGUUCUUUCAACUUUAUGUACAAGAGCAAAUAGAAAUAACUAUAUUUUGUAAAAAAAAUUUCCUGAAUUUUGCGCCAUCUGGCUUUCUCUAUGGUUCCCUACUGCCGUCUAACUCCACCUGCCACCUGAAAGAAAAAAAUAAUAAAUUUAAAGGAAGCAAGGAGCCACAAACCGUAGAGGCUAAGCGAAGAAGACCUUCAUCGACGUCGAACUCUACCUGCCGCCAUAUACCGCCAUAUACCGCCAACCUACCGCCAUAUAGCUCAAACCUACCACCUGAAAGAAAAAAUAAAUGUAACAGUAACAAUGAGCCACGAGCUCGUCCUCGUAAAAUCCUUUGAAACCAACCAAGCCUGUAAAAUCAAAGCGCUAUUCAUUGUAUGGGGGCGAGGGAAUCUCCUCAACCACCACCAUCUGGAUGAUGGACUAAAACCCACAGUAGGAAAAAAAAGAGCAAGUAAUCAUAUAAGAAUGAUAAGAAAUCCAGAAAACUUUGAGAUUAUCACUUGUCACCUUACAGGAAAAUAAAGCCAUGAAUAUGAGAACCUGUAUUAAACUAAAUUGAUCAACCAAUUUUUUAAAAUUAUUAUUUCAUUCAUUUCUUUAACAUUUUUGAUUAAACACUGACCUUUACUUUCAUUGAAUAGACUUAUUAUUUAUUGUAGGCUGAAUGUUUAAAUGUUAGCAAUUACAGCAGACGUUUGCAAAAAGUGGGUGUUUCCUGCAAAUGUCAUUUCUCACAAAAUCAGGUGAUAAUGUUCGCCCAGCAAUGCAACUAUCUCUUUAUCUAUAGAGAUAAAAGAAAGAUAUUACAGAAUGAUCACUCUGAAUGGCCGCCCAUCCAUGUAAAUAUCUCUAUUUGUAAAGACAAAAGAAUGAGGUUUAAUCACCGUCUUAAUGUGUAGUGACUGGGUUUAUUUGUGAAGAUACUGAUGAAUGAAUACAUGGUGCAACCCAAAAGAAAACCUGUCAGCUUGAGCUUUAUUUUAUUUAUUUUAUAGCUUUGUACUUUCAACUUCAUGUACAAAAGGAAAUAGAAUUAACUAUAUAUAUUUUUUAAAAAUUCCUGAAUUUUGCGCCAUCUGGCUUUCUCUAUGGUUACCUAUUGCCGUCUAACUCCACCUGCCACCUGAAAGAAAAAAAUAAUAAAUUUAAAGGAAGCAAGGAGCCACAAACCGUAGAGGCUUAAAAAGGCGUUGCCUCGCACAAAUCAGUGUUUGCUUGGCUAUUGCUGGAGGUAGUCAAGCAUGGUGUUGGCUUGUCAGUGAAUUUGUCUGAAGAUCAAAGCAUCUCAUGGCCCGUACGGGGAUCGAACCCGUGACCUUGGCGUUAAUAGCACCACGAUCUAACUAUCUGAGCCAACCGGCCUAAGGGUUACCUUAAGACUUUUGCCUGGCUCCGUACCGCGAGCUAGGAAGGGGCUAAGCGAAGAAGACCUUCAUCGACGUCGAACUCUAUCUGCCGCCAUAUACCGCCAACCUACCGCCAUAUAGCUCAAACCUACCACCUGGCGAGGCGUUUAUACUUCACGCGCUCGUCCUUGUAAUAUUCUUUGAAACCAAAUGGGACCGACUCGGAGUAAUCGUCAUAUAAACUAACAGGAAGUGACAAAGGGAAGAAUUAGUUUGUCUAAUAAUAAGAACUCAUUUUCAC